GAAGAGUGUAAAUGGUGCUCCUGGCUGGCUAAAGGGAAAACUGUAGCACCAUGGACAGCUCAGUGCUGGCAGGGAUUGGGGCAGUGAGGAAGAGUUUUGGCUGGGUGCUGGCCUGAGCUUAGAUGGUCCCUGAGGUGUGCGAGGGAGUGAGGAAGAGUGGCAGCAGGCAGCAUUCCUGACAGACUACAAUCCUCUUGGGGAGUGAGGGUCCCACUCUUUGAUGGUUCUCUGGAGAAUCCACUUACAGGUACUGGAAGCGGAACAGGAAGGAAUAAACUAAAGAUCGUAAGCAAUUUGAGGGCAAGGACUGUCUUUUUUGCAGAACAUUGUACAGUGCCUAGCACCACGGGUUCCAAUCUUCGAUUAAGGCCACUAGGAGCUGCUGCAAUACGAUUAUUAAACAACGACAAUUGCUACAUGCUUCACAUACUGGGACGAGAACUGGAUGAAGAAUAUGAAUCAGCCUGAAAUGUUGUUCUGCUCUGAGCUGUGACUCAGUAA
Mauremys reevesii (Reeves's turtle) is the source of this 501-nucleotide long non-coding RNA. RefSeq lists it as uncharacterized. The record is from RefSeq and is a predicted model, not a curated record. The transcript has 3 exons. NCBI's taxonomy places the organism in Eukaryota, Metazoa, Chordata, Testudines, Geoemydidae.